Molecule: ribosomal RNA, 497 nt
Filed under: uncultured bacterium
Lineage: Bacteria
Description: partial 16S ribosomal RNA
Rfam family: Bacterial small subunit ribosomal RNA
Source: RNAcentral
GAUGAACGCUGGCGGCGUGCCUAAUACAUGCAAGUCGAGCGAACAGAUAAGGAGCUUGCUCCUUUGACGUUAGCGGCGGACGGGUGAGUAACACGUGGGUAACCUAUCUAUAAGACUGGAAUAACUCCGGGAAACCGGGGCUAAUGCCGGAUAACAUGUUGAACCGCAUGGUUCUACAGUGAAAGGCGGCUUUGCUGUCACUUAUAGAUGGACCCGCGCCGUAUUAGCUAGUUGGUGAGGUAACGGCUCACCAAGGCAACGAUACGUAGCCGACCUGAGAGGGUGAUCGGCCACACUGGAACUGAGACACGGUCCAGACUCCUACGGGAGGCAGCAGUAGGGAAUCUUCCGCAAUGGGCGAAAGCCUGACGGAGCAACGCCGCGUGAGUGAUGAAGGUCUUCGGAUCGUAAAACUCUGUUAUUAGGGAAGAACAAAUGCGUAAGUAACUGUGCGCGUCUUGACGGUACCUAAUCAGAAAGCCACGGCUAACUACGUG